RNAcentral lists this transfer RNA (72 nucleotides) under Pelodiscus sinensis (Chinese soft-shelled turtle). It matches the Rfam family "tRNA". From Rfam's summary of the family: Transfer RNA (tRNA) molecules are approximately 80 nucleotides in length. The record is from Rfam by way of RNAcentral. Lineage: Eukaryota; Metazoa; Chordata; Testudines; Trionychidae.
GGUUCCAUGGUAUAAGGGGAAGCGCUCAGGACUUUGAAUCCUGCAAUCUGAGUUCCAAUCUCAGUGGGACUU